RNAcentral lists this ribosomal RNA (460 nucleotides) under uncultured bacterium. Its description in RNAcentral is "partial 16S ribosomal RNA". It matches the Rfam family "Bacterial small subunit ribosomal RNA", at positions 338 to 795 of the family's 1533-position model. The record is from RNAcentral.
CCUACGGGUGGCAGCAGUGAGGAAUUUUGGUCAAUGGGCGCGAGCCUGAACCAGCCAAGUAGCGUGAAGGAUGACUGCCCUACGGGUUGUAAACUUCUUUUGUAAGGGAGUAAAGUGCGGCACGUGUGCCUUUUUGUAUGUACUUUAUGAAUAAGGAUCGGCUAACUCCGUGCCAGCAGCCGCGGUAAUACGGAGGAUCCGAGCGUUAUCCGGAUUUAUUUGGUUUAAAGGGAGCGUAGGUGGGUUGUUAAGUCAGGUGUGAAAGUUUGCGGCUCAACCGUAAAAUUGCAAUUGAUACUGGCAGCCUUGAGUACAGGUGAGGUAGGCGGAAUUCGUGGUGUAGCGGUGAAAUGCUUAGAUAUCACGAAGAACUCCGAUUGCGAAGGCAGCCUACUAAACUGCAACUGACAUUGAGGCUCGAAAGUGUGGGUAUCAAACAGGAUUAGAUACCCCGGUAGUC